UUUUUUUUCUGCACGAUUUUGAAGUUUAGAAAGCCAAAGUCAUGGCUUUUACAUUCGGCCAAGCUUAGAUUCUCAAUUAGGGUAUGGUCUUUAUUCCGUUUUUAAUAAUUUUUACGUUUUUGAGAUCGUUGCUUUGUAUUCUAGUUAGCCCGUACCUCAAUUUCUGAAAAUUUUGAUGAUUUUGAAAUGUGCCAUUGUUGAAUACUAGUAUAUUUUGAAGUAUUAUGCUAGAUUAUUGAUGGAUAUUGAAAUAUAUACAAGUUUUAUAAAGUAAAUUUUGACAAAAAUGAGCAUUAGGGAUUUAAUUAAAAAAAUAGAAAUAUUAUGUUAGAAAUGUGAAAUAAAUGAAAAUAUGGGUUGAUUAGAAGAUAUAUAGUAUUCGGCUAAGAAUACGUAUAAAGAAAUUUCAUAUAUUUUGUGUAUUUGUGAAUUAGGAUCAAGAUAAACAAAUACCGGAACUUGAUCGGGGGAAACAAAAGUUAGACGGGUAGACGAAAGUAUUCGAGCAAAUACGAGGUAAGUUCGUGUAGCUAGAAUUGAAUUAUUAAAUAUUUGUAAUUGUCCAAAAAUGAAUGUAUGUAAGUUGAAUGAAUGAUCCACUUGAAUUUUAAAUUACCGAUAUACUAUUAUAUUACUGUUUACAUGAAUGCAAAUGAAAUGUUACAAAUACUAUAUACGUUAUAUAGAUUUGGUAUAAUAAUAGGCAUUGAAUAUGAAAUUUUGAGUAUUUAAAUGUAUGUAUUUAAUUAUAUUAAAUAUAUAUACACAUAUGAAUUGAGAAAUUGAGCUAUUGAUUUUUCUUUGCUUAAUUGAUGAAAUUGGAUAAUACCGAGCCCGUUUGAACUUUAGAAAAUCGUCGGAUACGAGUGACUUGUCACUAGGGUUACCGUUUGGUCGAGCUCCUGCAUUUGUUGCGGACUCACCACAGCUUGUAUGAGCUUACCGUUUCAGCUCUACGGAGCUUACCGUUUCAGCUCGAUAGAGCUUACCGUUUAUCAGCUCGGAAUGACCUUACCGAUUAUGGCUCGAAAGAGCGAAAAUGACAAUGAAUUGACGAAUUUCUGAUAAAUACACUUAUAGUAUAUCACCCGUGUAUCCCUCGAUGUUCUAAUAGGUUCAACGGGCAUAAUUACUGUUACUGAUAAUAUGAAUAAAUUAUAUAAUUAUUUGGAUGAAUUACCAUUGAUAUGUAUAAGUUACUAUUGAUACGGAAAAAUUUUUGUUAUUACUGAUGAAUUACAGGUUACACGAAUAGGAUGGAAUUGAUAUAAAUGCUAUAUGAUUUACAUGAAUUAUUUGUUUUAUGAAUAUAUGAAUUAUAGGGACGACAUGAUAUAUUUAGCUAUAUGACUAACUCGUGGAUGGUAAUGUGAAUAGACUUUGUGGACAAAUGAGUUGAUUUUAAUUGUUUUAAAUGCUUAAAUGUUAAAUUGGUAAGUUUAAUUUUAUAUUAUACGGCUUACUAAGCUUAAUGCUUACUUCAUUUAUUUUCUUAUGUUCUAUAGAUUUCGAAAGCUAGCUCGAUUUUGGACUAGGUCGGAGAUUUGCUAUCACACUAUCCAAACGAUUUUUGGUACUUUUGGACCUUAUGUAAAUAAUGUAAAUAUGACAUGUAUAGUUAAUUUUUGGUAUGAAUUUUGGGGUUUGAUCAAACUAUGUGAUAUGGCUUGAGUUGGAAAUGUUCAAUUUAGAAUGGAA
This 1698-nucleotide long non-coding RNA is filed under the name Gossypium barbadense (sea-island cotton). RNAcentral's name for it is "long non-coding RNA (GBAR_LNC021701)". The record is from RNAcentral. Lineage: Eukaryota; Viridiplantae; Streptophyta; Magnoliopsida; Malvales; Malvaceae.